This 948-nucleotide ribosomal RNA is filed under the name uncultured bacterium. Its description in RNAcentral is "bacterial SSU rRNA". It matches the Rfam family "Bacterial small subunit ribosomal RNA", at positions 418 to 1378 of the family's 1533-position model. The record is from RNAcentral.
UCGGGUUGUAAACCUUUUUCAGCAGGGACGAAGCGUAAGUGACGGUACCUGCAGAAGAAGCGCCGGCCAACUACGUGCCAGCAGCCGCGGUAAGACGUAGGGCGCGAGCGUUGUCCGGAUUUAUUGGGCGUAAAGAGCUCGUAGGCGGCUUGUCGCGUCGACUGUGAAAACCCGCGGCUCAACCGCGGGCCUGCAGCCGAUACGGGCAGGCUAGAGUUCGGUAGGGGAGACUGGAAUUCCUGGUGUAGCGGUGAAAUGCGCAGAUAUCAGGAGGAACACCGAUGGCGAAGGCAGGUCUCUGGGCCGAUACUGACGCUGAGGAGCGAAAGCGUGGGGAGCGAACAGGAUUAGAUACCCUGGUAGUCCACGCUGUAAACGUUGGGCGCUAGGUGUGGGGGACCUCUCCGGUUCUCUGUGCCGCAGCUAACGCAUUAAGCGCCCCGCCUGGGGAGUACGGCCGCAAGGCUAAAACUCAAAGGAAUUGACGGGGGCCCGCACAAGCGGCGGAGCAUGCGGAUUAAUUCGAUGCAACGCGAAGAACCUUACCUGGGUUUGACAUCGCCGGAAAACUCGCAGAGAUGCGGGGUCCUUCGGGGCCGGUGACAGGUGGUGCAUGGCUGCCGUCAGCUCGUGUCGUGAGAUGUUGGGUUAAGUCCCGCAACGAGCGCAACCCUCGUUCGAUGUUGCCAGCGGGUCAAGCCGGGGACUCAUCGAGGACUGCCGGGGUCAACUCGGAGGAAGGUGGGGAUGACGUCAAGUCAUCAUGCCCCUUAUGUCCAGGGCUUCAAACACGCUACAAUGGCCGGUACAAAGGGCUGCAAACUCGCGAGGGUGAGCGAAUCCCAGAAAGCCGGUCUCAGUUCGGAUUGGGGUCUGCAACUCGACCCCAUGAAGUUGGAGUCGCUAGUAAUCGCAGAUCAGCAACGCCGCGGUGAAUACGUUCCCGGG